AGAGCGAGAGACUCGCCAUCGGUGGGUUUUUACCCGAGCCAAACCAGAAAAACGAAAAGAAGAAAAGAAAAAGGAGAAAGAGAGAGAGGGAGGGAGAGAUCGAAGCAAGAAAAAGAAAGGAAGAUGAAAAAAAAAUGUAAAAAUCAAAGAUCUGAUCUUCAAUCGAUCUCGACAUCGCCAGGUACCUACACAGUAACAAGCUCACUGGGCUAAUUCCACCCGAAUUGGGGAACAUGUCCAAGCUAAGCUAUCUGUGAAGGUUCUUACUUUAAAAUAAAAUUUCCAUUUCGGGAUAUUUGUGUGUAAAUUAUUUCUGAUAGUUUCCUUCUACAGGAAAUUGAACAAUAAUGAACUGGUUGGUAGCAUUCUGGCCGAGCUUGGAUAGCUGGAGUUGUUUGAAUUGUGCAUGGCAAAGAUUGAAUGGUUCCAUUCCAUCUGAAUUCCUGAAGCUGGAGAGUCUAACAUAUCUAAACUUCUCAUCGAACAAUUUUAAAGGGUGGAUCCCUGUUGAGUUAGGGCGCAUAAUCAAUCUUGAUACUUUGUCGGUUGCAAUGUAAGCUUUCAAUGAUUAUGACGAGAAAGAGGACUUGUACUACCCUUAAAAAAAAAUCUCUUAUAUUGAUUAUUUUACAGGCCUUUGCUCAACUAUUGCAAGCUCCUCAUGAUGAUGCUCAAAUUAUCAUAACAGAUUGUUUCCCUGUCCCCAUAUUGGUUAUUUGUGAUCAGCAUGGUUCCCAGGUUUGUAAAUGUCUUUUGGCUUCAACCUGUGAAAUAGACCACUCUACUUUUAAUUCCUUAAUAUAAUUUCCAUGGAGGUG
Magnolia sinica is the source of this 818-nucleotide long non-coding RNA. RefSeq lists it as uncharacterized. The transcript is spliced from 3 exons. NCBI's taxonomy places the organism in Eukaryota, Viridiplantae, Streptophyta, Magnoliopsida, Magnoliales, Magnoliaceae. The record is from RefSeq and is a predicted model, not a curated record.